GGGGGUGUCUUUGGAUUUGAUAGAAGGAACUCAUACCUCUUGACAGCCACUGCUGAAUGGUUCUACAGCUUAAUCACGGACCAAAAGAAAAUGCAGGAAAUGCAACUCUUGCUGGAGCCGUUAAAAGAUUUAACGCAGCUUACGCUCUUGCGUAGUUACCAGCUUCAACCUCUACGUUUGACUCCUCCUAUGCGUAAAGGCGAACCAAGGAGGAAUUAAUAGUUGUUGUAGUGAAUAGAAGCAAUGAGUUUGCUCCUUCAUCUCGCUUCUCCCUACUCUAAUAACUCUAAAAAUCUGGUUGAAAAAGUCGCUAUAGUGGUAGAGGUCAAAAGAUAUGCCUUUUAGACUAGGGUUCGACACCCUACACCUCCAAAA
Molecule: transfer-messenger RNA, 375 nt
Filed under: Candidatus Peribacteria bacterium
Lineage: Bacteria; Candidatus Peregrinibacteriota; Candidatus Peribacteria
Rfam family: transfer-messenger RNA
About the family: Bacterial tmRNA, also known as 10Sa RNA or SsrA, is named for its dual tRNA and mRNA-like properties. Its role is to liberate the mRNA from a stalled ribosome.
Source: RNAcentral